Molecule: ribosomal RNA, 486 nt
Filed under: Clostridium perfringens
Lineage: Bacteria; Bacillati; Bacillota; Clostridia; Eubacteriales; Clostridiaceae
Description: bacterial SSU rRNA
Rfam family: Bacterial small subunit ribosomal RNA
Source: RNAcentral
CGUCAGCUCGUGUCGUGAGAUGUUGGGUUAAGUCCCGCAACGAGCGCAACCCUUGUCGUUAGUUACUACCAUUAAGUUGAGGACUCUAGCGAGACUGCCUGGGUUAACCAGGAGGAAGGUGGGGAUGACGUCAAAUCAUCAUGCCCCUUAUGUGUAGGGCUACACACGUGCUACAAUGGCUGGUACAGAGAGAUGCAAUACCGCGAGGUGGAGCCAAACUUAAAAACCAGUCUCAGUUCGGAUUGUAGGCUGAAACUCGCCUACAUGAAGCUGGAGUUACUAGUAAUCGCGAAUCAGAAUGUCGCGGUGAAUACGUUCCCGGGUCUUGUACACACCGCCCGUCACACCAUGAGAGUUGGCAAUACCCGAAGUCCGUGAGCUAACCGCAAGGAGGCAGCGGCCGAAGGUAGGGUCAGCGAUUGGGGUGAAGUCGUAACAAGGUAGCCGUAGGAGAACCUGCGGCUGGAUCACCUCCUUUCUAAGGAA